AGAAUAAGCUACGAGGCAGAAAGCAAAAUAAAUAAAAUGUAACAUAAGAUGCAGUUAUUAAAAUCACCACAAGAUGGCGAUAUCCCUUACUGCGUGUGGAACGCUCAGACAGGAAGUGAUGUAAAAGUGGAAUAGGAAGUGAUAUAAAGGAGGAACAGGAAAUGAUGUAAGGUGAAAACAAGACGCGCUAUAAAGGAAAGACAGGAAUUUCUGGGAGAGAAGAACGAGGUGGAGAGGAGACGUCACUGGAUUAUACAGAGGAGGAUAAAGGAAGUAUUGAAGAGGAAAUCUGGGCAGCUG
This is a long non-coding RNA of Rana temporaria (common frog), 300 nucleotides long. RefSeq lists it as uncharacterized. The record is from RefSeq and is a predicted model, not a curated record. The transcript has 2 exons. NCBI's taxonomy places the organism in Eukaryota, Metazoa, Chordata, Amphibia, Anura, Ranidae.